RNAcentral lists this small RNA (503 nucleotides) under Pan troglodytes (chimpanzee). Its description in RNAcentral is "processed transcript". The record is from RNAcentral. Lineage: Eukaryota; Metazoa; Chordata; Mammalia; Primates; Hominidae.
AGCAGUCAGUGUGUCUGGCGGGUGUCGGCGUGAAGCGGGACUGGGCCAGCGGGAGGUAGCUCUGUGGGAGUGGAAGGCCUGUAUUUCUCUACCUGGACCGCACGCUCCUCGCGCAAGGAGGGUAGAGCUCAAGAUGCUUGGGAUUUGCUUUACAUUCUAAGUGGAUUUGGAGAAGAGACAAUAAAGAAUAAGCAGUCGAUUCUAUAAUAUAUUUAGAAGGAGAAAAGUGCCAAGGAGGAAUGAAAAAGUAGAGCAAGAGACAGCAUCUUGCUGCCACCCAGGCUGGAGUGCAGUGGUGCAGUCUUAGCUUACUGCAGCCUCAAACUUCUGGGCUCAAGUAAUCCUCCCGCCUCAGCUUCCUGAGUAGCUGAGAUUACAGAUUUGCUUUGAGGUCACAUUGAUAUGAAAUAUGGAGUCACCUUUCAUAACUUCACCUGGGAAAGAGAGAGAAAACUUUCUUGUUAAAAAAACAUAAGGAAAACAAACAACCAAAGGAAUCAUGC